UCCCGCGAACGCGAGUGGGAAAGGAGCAGGGGGUGGCGACCGCACCGAGGGCCUGAAGGUCCCCACGCAGGCUGCGCGGAGCCUUGCCCCCUACUCUUCAGGGCCGCCGCACUGAGAAGUAAGUGCCGCUACAAGGGCGUGCUGGAGCCGCCGCGGAGGCUGCUGGGAAGUGUAGUUCCGCCCGCCAGGGACUCCGGUUCUCAUGGCAACCGAGGCGGGAGCGGCGCAAACCUGCGUCGUCGUCAAGGAGAUGGCGUCCAGGCGGGGCAGUGACUGCGAGAUCCGGACUGCAAGCUGAGCCUUAUAGAGGAAGAUGGCACUUGGAUCAGCUGGAGUGGCCCCCCAGGCUGAACUACGCUCACCAUCUCAGCAUCAAGCUGCCAUAGCUCUGAACCGUGUCUGUGAGCCUCUGUGCUUUAUUUCUGUUUUUUGUGCAUCUGUUAGCAAGAUGUGUCCUAAGAUGAGGAAACUGAGGCCCAACAGGAAAGCCAUGCAUCCCGAGUGAACCUGUGCAGCCGGACUCGGGACACGACUAGGUCCAGGACCCCACCGAUCCAACCCUUCACCUCAGCCCUGCGGCCGCGGGAACACAGGGACCCCCCGCUCCCUCCCCAGAAGGGAGGCCCUCCACCCUAGGGGGCGCCCAGGCGCUCGCGCUUCCCUCCGGGAAAAUGAGUGGCCCUUUGGGAGCACAUACAGCCCUCCGAGCGGCCUCGGACCUGAAG
Long non-coding RNA from Camelus dromedarius (Arabian camel), 725 nucleotides. RefSeq lists it as uncharacterized. The record is from RefSeq and is a predicted model, not a curated record. Lineage: Eukaryota; Metazoa; Chordata; Mammalia; Artiodactyla; Camelidae. The transcript has 3 exons.